GAACUGCGAUAAGUAAUGUGAAUUGCAGAAUUCAGUGAAUCAUCGAGUCUUUGAACGCACAUUGUGCCCCCUGGCAUUCCGGGGGGCAUGCCUGUCCGAGCGUCAUUGCUGCCCUUCAAGCCCGGCUUAUGUGUUGGGUCGUCGUCCCCUCCGGGGGACGGGCCCGAAAGGCAGCGGCGGCACCGCGUCCGGUCCUCGAGCGUAUGGGGCUUUGUCACCCGCUCGAUAAGGACCGGCCGGGCGCCAGCCGGCGUCUCCAACCUUUUUUUCUCAGGUUGACCUCGGAUCAGGUAGGGAUACCCGCUGAACUUAAGC
Molecule: unclassified non-coding RNA, 315 nt
Filed under: plant metagenome
Description: partial contains 5.8S ribosomal RNA, internal transcribed spacer 2, and large subunit ribosomal RNA
Rfam family: 5.8S ribosomal RNA (bases 1-105)
Source: RNAcentral